AAAUGAAUUGACGGGGGCCCGCACAAGCGGUGGAUUAUGUGGUUUAAUUCGAAGCAACGCGCAGAACCUUACCUAGGCUUGAAAUCCUACGAAUUCGGCGUAAUGGUCGAAGUGCCCUUCGGGGAACGUAGAGACAGGUGCUGCAUGGCUGUCGUCAGCUCGUGUUGUGAAAUGUUGGGUUAAGUCUCGCAACGAGCGCAACCCCUAUCUUUAGUUGCCAGCAUUAAGUUGGGCACUCUAGAGAGACUGCCUGGGUUAACCAGGAGGAAGGUGGGGAUGACGUCAAGUCCUCAUGGCCCUUAUGUCUAGGGCUACACACGUAAUACAAUGGUGCGAACAGAGGGAAGCGAACCUGCGAGGGGGAGCAAAUCUCAAAAAACGCAUCUCAGUCCGGAUUGAAGUCUGCAACUCGACUUCAUGAAGUUGGAAUCGCUAGUAAUCGCGGAUCAGAACGCCGCGGUGAAUACGUUCCCGGGCCUUGUACACACCGCCCGU
RNAcentral lists this ribosomal RNA (495 nucleotides) under uncultured bacterium. RNAcentral describes it as "bacterial SSU rRNA". It matches the Rfam family "Bacterial small subunit ribosomal RNA", at positions 903 to 1397 of the family's 1533-position model. The record is from RNAcentral.